UGUUGCUGUUAAUAAGUCACUCACUACCUGCUUAGAAGUCACUCACUACGAGUAAUCCUAGUUUUCUUACCAGUGAUAUUUCAGCUGUGGAAUUUGAACUUCACUUUUGACCUUAGCCGGAGAAGGGGAAUCUAAAGGAUUGCAACUACGUGCUCGCUUUUCCGUGCUAACCAGAGCAGAGCCAGUAGCAAGUGGUAGAUUUUAGUAAAGUUCUGGUUCUUGUUGAAUACCGAGUAGAUGUACUGGAUUUCUGUCUUUCCUUCCCUAGUGGGUUGAAGCUAAGUGCUUUGUUUUCGGGAGCUAAAUUAAGUAUAUAGUAAGCUCAAUUAAGUAUAUAGUAAGAUGUACCUCUGGCUAAUGAUUCCGUUUCUUUUGCAUCGUAUAAAGAAGCAGUUCGAAAGGAAGCAAAAACACAGGACUUAUUCAUAACCGAUCGAAAGAUGUAGCUAAUGUUGGCACUUCAGUACAAGAUAAGAAAUGAUUUGUUGCAUACUAGAAGUGGAAGCGGGUAAGUCGGCUCGAUCUGAAGCUGUUUCAAGAGAAGAAUGCCCAGAUUAACCAGCAAGCGGGAGGGAAAGGGGAGUUCACUCUUUGUCAGCAACAAUUGGUUAUGCUAGUCAAGUUUCGUAUUCAAGGAUAGGUCAAGGGUGAAAGCUCAGGAUCAGUAAGCUACUCAAUUCCUUUCAUAUAGGUGGGUGAGAGAGAUUUCAUGAAAGUUUAAGUCGACUCUCAAUCUAGGUUUACAUCCCCUUAAAGUAGUCGUCAAAGUCGUCCAAGCAUAUAGUUCGACAGAAUUGAAUGAUGAAUGCAAAGGCGAAAGUGAACUAAUAUUGCCUUGCCAGGAAUGCAGGGGUCAGAACAAAAUCAAUCUUCAGCGCGGUGUCAACCAGUAAAGAAGGGUUCUUGGCCAAACAAAGUCUAUGAGAUCAGAAACCGAAGAUAGAGUCAGAUGCCUAAGAAAUAUAUGAAGCUGCAGUAGUUGCUAAGGUCGAAAACAGGAACGAUUGAACUCUGGAAUUGUAAUAAGAAAGGAACGAAAACAGGACUUGGCGGA
This 1054-nucleotide long non-coding RNA is filed under the name Musa acuminata (dwarf banana). Its description in RNAcentral is "long non-coding RNA (MACU_LNC009866)". The record is from RNAcentral. Lineage: Eukaryota; Viridiplantae; Streptophyta; Magnoliopsida; Zingiberales; Musaceae.